RNAcentral lists this ribosomal RNA (445 nucleotides) under uncultured bacterium. RNAcentral's name for it is "bacterial SSU rRNA". It matches the Rfam family "Bacterial small subunit ribosomal RNA", at positions 354 to 796 of the family's 1533-position model. The record is from RNAcentral.
GUAAGGAAUAUUGGACAAUGGAGGCAACUCUGAUCCAGCCAUGCCGCGUGCAGGAUGAAGGCCCUAUGGGUCGUAAACUGCUUUUGUACGAGAGAAAACCUAUUUACGUGUAGAUAGUUGAUAGUAUCGUAAGAAUAAGGAUCGGCUAACUUCGUGCCAGCAGCCGCGGUAAGACGAAGGAUCCAAGCGUUAUCCGGAUUCAUUGGGUUUAAAGGGUGCGUAGGCGGAUUUGUAAGUCAGUGGUGAAAGCCGAUAGCUCAACUAUCGAACUGCCAUUGAUACUGCAGAUCUAGAAUAUAGAUGAUGUUGGCGGAAUAUGACAUGUAGCGGUGAAAUGCAUAGAUAUGUCAUAGAACACCGAUUGCGAAGGCAGCUGACAAAACUAUUAUUGACGCUGAUGCACGAAAGUGCGGGGAUCAAACAGGAUUAGAUACCCUGGUAGUCC